RNAcentral lists this ribosomal RNA (914 nucleotides) under uncultured crenarchaeote. Its description in RNAcentral is "bacterial SSU rRNA". It matches the Rfam family "Archaeal small subunit ribosomal RNA", at positions 1 to 922 of the family's 1478-position model. The record is from RNAcentral. Lineage: Archaea; Thermoproteati; Thermoproteota.
UUCCGGUUGAUCCUGCCGGACCUGACUGCUAUCGGAUUGAUACUAAGCCAUGCGAGUCAUUGUAGCAAUACAAGGCAUACGGCUCAGUAACGCGUAGUCAACCUAACCUAUGGACGGGAAUAACCUCGGGAAACUGAGAAUAAUGCCCGAUAGAACACUAUACCUGGAAUGGUUUGUGUUCCAAAUGAUUUAUCGCCAUAGGAUGGGACUGCGGCCUAUCAGUUUGUUGGUGAGGUAAUGGCCCACCAAGACUAUUACAGGUACGGGCUCUGAGAGGAGUAGCCCGGAGAUGGGUACUGAGACACGGACCCAGGCCCUAUGGGGCGCAGCAGGCGAGAAAACUUUGCAAUGUGCGAAAGCACGACAAGGUUAAUCCGAGUGAUUUGUGCUAAACGAAUCUUUUGUUAGUCCUAGAAACACUAACGAAUAAGGGGUGGGCAAGUUCUGGUGUCAGCCGCCGCGGUAAAACCAGCACCUCAAGUGGUCAGGAUGAUUAUUGGGCCUAAAGCAUCCGUAGCCGGCUCUGUAAGUUUUCGGUUAAAUCUGUACGCUUAACGUACAGGCUGCCGGGAAUACUGCAGAGCUAGGGAGUGGGAGAGGUAGACGGUACUCGGUAGGAAGUGGUAAAAUGCUUUGAUCUAUCGAUGACCACCUGUGGCGAAGGCGGUCUACCAGAACACGUCCGACGGUGAGGGAUGAAAGCUGGGGGAGCAAACCGGAUUAGAUACCCGGGUAGUCCCAGCUGUAAACUAUGCAAACUCAGUGAUGCAUUGGCUUGUGGCCAAUGCAGUGCUGCAGGGAAGCCGUUAAGUUUGCCGCCUGGGAAGUACGUACGCGAGUAUGAAACUUAAAGGAAUUGGCGGGGGAGCACCACAAGUGGUGAAGCCUGCGGUUCAAUUGGAGUCAACGCCGGG